AAAUUUUGGGAGAGUUUGUAUUCUCAUGGAUUUCUCUAAGCCACUCUCUCGAGGAGUUUGGAUCAAGAUGGGAAACUAUUAAGUUUUUCCAAUCGGCAGCAUAUGAAAAUAUUCCAUUACUUUUGUUUCAAUUGUGGGAUGGUUGGCUACCAGACCAAGAUUUUUACUCUAUAGGGAGGGUCAUCGUCCAAGGCUUCAGCGCUAGCUCAAAGGGAG
This 216-nucleotide long non-coding RNA is filed under the name Musa acuminata (dwarf banana). Its description in RNAcentral is "long non-coding RNA (MACU_LNC007286)". Lineage: Eukaryota; Viridiplantae; Streptophyta; Magnoliopsida; Zingiberales; Musaceae. The record is from RNAcentral.